GACGAACGCUGGCGGCGUGCCUAACACAUGCAAGUCGAACGGAACUGUUUUGAAAGAUUUCUUCGGAAUGAAUUUGAUUUAGUUUAGUGGCGGACGGGUGAGUAACGCGUGAGUAACCUGCCUUCAAGAGGGGGAUAACAUUCUGAAAAGGAUGCUAAUACCGCAUGACAUAUCGGAACCACAUGGUUCUGAUAUCAAAGAUUUUAUCGCUUGAAGAUGGACUCGCGUCCGAUUAGUUAGUUGGUGAGGUAACGGCUCACCAAGACCGCGAUCGGUAGCCGGACUGAGAGGUUGAACGGCCACAUUGGGACUGAGACACGGCCCAGACUCCUACGGGAGGCAGCAGUGGGGGAUAUUGCGCAAUGGGGGCAACCCUGACGCAGCAACGCCGCGUGAAGGAUGAAGGUUUUCGGAUUGUAAACUUCUUUUAUUAAGGACGAAAAAUGACGGUACUUAAUGAAUAAGCUCCGGCUAACUACGUGCCAGCAGCCGCGGUAAUACGUAGGGAGCAAGCGUUGUCCGGAUUUACUGGGUGUAAAGGGGUGCGUAGGCGGCUUUGCAAGUCAGAUGUGAAAUCUAUGGGCUCAACCCAUAAACUGCAUUUGAAACUGUAGAGCUUGAGUGAAGUAGAGGCAGGCGGAAUUCCCCGUGUAGCGGUGAAAUGCGUAGAGAUGGGGAGGAACACCAGUGGCGAAGGCGGCCUGCUGGGCUUUAACUGACGCUGAGGCACGAAAGCGUGGGUAGCAAA
This 748-nucleotide ribosomal RNA is filed under the name uncultured bacterium. RNAcentral describes it as "bacterial SSU rRNA". It matches the Rfam family "Bacterial small subunit ribosomal RNA", at positions 28 to 772 of the family's 1533-position model. The record is from RNAcentral.